Molecule: unclassified non-coding RNA, 300 nt
Filed under: uncultured Eurotiomycetes
Lineage: Eukaryota; Fungi; Ascomycota; Eurotiomycetes
Description: sequence contains 5.8S rRNA gene, ITS2
Rfam family: 5.8S ribosomal RNA (bases 1-71)
Source: RNAcentral
GUGAGUCAUCGAAUCUUUGAACGCACAUUGCGCCCACUGGUAUUCCGGAGGGCAUGCCUGUCCGAGCGUCAUUGCUGUACAUCAAGCCCGGCUUGUGUGUUGGGCCUACCGUUCCUUGGGACGGUGACCCGAAAGGCAGUGGCGGCGUCGCGUCCCGGUCCUUGAAGCGUAUGGGGCUUUGUCACCUGCUUCGAGGCCGGCCGACCCCGUAGCCCAUUGUGGAUCUUCCACAUUUUAUUUUGAUGGACCUCGGAUCAGGUAGGGAUACCCGCUGAACUUAAGCAUAUCAAUAAGCGGAGG